RNAcentral lists this transfer RNA (74 nucleotides) under Loxodonta africana (African savanna elephant). It matches the Rfam family "tRNA". Rfam says of the family: Transfer RNA (tRNA) molecules are approximately 80 nucleotides in length. Their secondary structure includes four short double-helical elements and three loops (D, anti-codon, and T loops). Further hydrogen bonds mediate the characteristic L-shaped molecular structure. tRNAs have two regions of fundamental functional importance: the anti-codon, which is responsible for specific mRNA codon recognition, and the 3' end, to which the tRNAs corresponding amino acid is attached (by aminoacyl-tRNA synthetases). tRNAs cope with the degeneracy of the genetic code in two manners: having more than one tRNA (with a specific anti-codon) for a particular amino acid; and 'wobble' base-pairing, i.e. permitting non-standard base-pairing at the 3rd anti-codon position. The record is from Rfam by way of RNAcentral. Lineage: Eukaryota; Metazoa; Chordata; Mammalia; Proboscidea; Elephantidae.
CACUGAGUGGUGAAGAUGGUUAACACCCUUGGCUGCUAACCAAAUGGUUGGUGGUUCAAGCCUGCCCUAAGGCA